Molecule: long non-coding RNA, 250 nt
Filed under: Solanum tuberosum (potato)
Lineage: Eukaryota; Viridiplantae; Streptophyta; Magnoliopsida; Solanales; Solanaceae
Description: long non-coding RNA (STUB_LNC010157)
Source: RNAcentral
UUGGGGUAAGAACUCUCUCUACUUCAAUCAAUAAAUUACAAGCCCUAAUAUGCUUAAAGAAGUAAUGGAAUACUUUGAAGACUAAAUUGAUGAAAAUAUCAAAAUUUUAUCAGAAAGGUCAAAUCUAAAACCUAUCACUACAUUAGAAGACAAAUUCCAAGAUCGAAAUGCUUCAUAAAAUAUUAAAUUGAGCACUUUGAGGUCUAGAUUGAUGAGCAGAUUCAAAUUUUAUCGGAAAUCUCAGUCAACU